AGCCAUAAGAAUCUAUUUCGGGUAGACCCUGCUCAAUGAACAUAGUUUAAAUUGCCGCGGUACCUUGACCGUGCUAAGGUAGCAUAAUCAGUUGACUUUUAAAUGAAGUCUGGAAUGAAAGGGAACACGGGGCUAAACUGUCUCAUUAGCUUACUCCUGAACUUACUAACGGGGUGAAAAGGCCCGAUUAUAAUAAAAGACGAGAAGACCCUUAGAGUUUGAUUUUUUUGUUGGGGCGACAAGUAAUCAUUUAACAUUACUAGGUAAAUGUGACGGUGUUUUCAUGAAUAAAUAAACUACCUGAGGGAUAACAGCAUAAUCUUUUUAGGUUUGUGACCUCGAUGUUGGACUAGGAAGUCUAUAGGCUAGCCGCCUAUAAGAGGGAUUCUGUUCGAAUCUUUACUCCU
Molecule: ribosomal RNA, 407 nt
Filed under: Aglajidae sp. 1 NA-2007
Lineage: Eukaryota; Metazoa; Mollusca; Gastropoda; Cephalaspidea; Aglajidae
Description: partial 16S ribosomal RNA
Rfam family: Archaeal large subunit ribosomal RNA
Source: RNAcentral